AGCGAACGCUAGCGGCGGGCUUAACACAUGCAAGUCGAGCGCCUUGCUUGCAAGGAGCGGCGGACGGGUGAGUAACACGUAGGUUACCUGCCCUCUGGUGGGGAAUAACCCAGGGAAACCCGGGCUAAUACCGCAUAUGGUCUACGGAUCAAAGCCUUCGGGCGCCAGAGGAUGGGCCUGCGGCCCAUUAUUUAAUCCUAGUUGGUAGGGUAACGGCCUACCAAGGGUACGAUGGGUAGCUGGUCUGAGAGGAUGAUCAGCCACACUGGGACUGAGACACGGCCCAG
Molecule: ribosomal RNA, 287 nt
Filed under: uncultured bacterium
Lineage: Bacteria
Description: partial 16S ribosomal RNA
Rfam family: Bacterial small subunit ribosomal RNA
Source: RNAcentral